GAUGAACGCUGGCGGCGUGCCUAAUACAUGCAAGUCGAGCGAACAGACGAGGAGCUUGCUCCUCUGACGUUAGCGGCGGACGGGUGAGUAACACGUGGAUAACCUACCUAUAAGACUGGGAUAACUUCGGGAAACCGGAGCUAAUACCGGAUAAUAUAUUGAACCGCAUGGUUCAAUAGUGAAAGACGGUUUUGCUGUCACUUAUAGAUGGAUCCGCGCCGCAUUAGCUAGUUGGUAAGGUAACGGCUUACCAAGGCGACGAUGCGUAGCCGACCUGAGAGGGUGAUCGGCCACACUGGAACUGAGACACGGUACAGACUCCUACGGGAGGCAGCAGUAGGGAAUCUUCCGCAAUGGGCGAAAGCCUGACGGAGCAACGCCGCGUGAGUGAUGAAGGUCUUCGGAUCGUAAAACUCUGUUAUUAGGGAAGAACAAAUGUGUAAGUAACUAUGCACGUCUUGACGGUACCUAAUCAGAAAGCCACGGCUAACUACGU
RNAcentral lists this ribosomal RNA (496 nucleotides) under uncultured bacterium. RNAcentral's name for it is "partial 16S ribosomal RNA". It matches the Rfam family "Bacterial small subunit ribosomal RNA", at positions 28 to 506 of the family's 1533-position model. The record is from RNAcentral.